UGGGGAAUUUUGGACAAUGGGGGCAACCCUGAUCCAGCCAUGCCGCGUGCGGGAAGAAGGCCUUCGGGUUGUAAACCGCUUUUGGUCGGGACGAAAGGGCUGGGGCUAAUACCCUUGGUCGUUGACGGUACCGGCAGAAUAAGCACCGGCUAACUACGUGCCAGCAGCCGCGGUAAUACGUAGGGUGCGAGCGUUAAUCGGAAUUACUGGGCGUAAAGCGUGCGCAGGCGGUAAGUUAAGUCUGAUGUGAAAGCCCCGGGCUCAACCUGGGAACGGCAUUGGAAACUGGCUUGCUAGAGUGUGGCAGAGGGGGGUGGAACUCCGCGUGUAGCAGUGAAAUGCGUAGAGAUGCGGAAGAACACCGAUGGCGAAGGCAGCCCCCUGGGCUAACACUGACGCUCAGGCACGAAAGCGUGGGGAGCAAACA
This 427-nucleotide ribosomal RNA is filed under the name uncultured beta proteobacterium. RNAcentral describes it as "partial 16S ribosomal RNA". It matches the Rfam family "Bacterial small subunit ribosomal RNA", at positions 355 to 774 of the family's 1533-position model. Lineage: Bacteria; Pseudomonadati; Pseudomonadota; Betaproteobacteria. The record is from RNAcentral.